CCGGUUGAUCCUGCCGGACCUGACUGCUAUCGGAUUGAUACUAAGCCAUGCGAGUCUUUGUAGUAAUACAAGGCAGACGGCUCAGUAACACGUAGUCAACCUACCCUAUGGACAAGAAUAAUCUCGGGAAACUGGGCAUAAUUCUUGAUAGAUCAUAAUGCCUGGAAUGGUUUAUGGUUAAAAUGAUUCGUCGCCAUAGGAUGGGACUGCGGCCUAUCAGCUUGUUGGUGAGGUAAUGGCCCACCAAGGCGAUUACAGGUACGGGCUCUGAGAGGAGAAGCCCGGAGAUGGGUACUGAGACACGGACCCAGGCCCUAUGGGGCGCAGCAGGCGAGAAAACUCUGCAAUGUGCGAAAGCACGACAAGGUUAAUCCGAGUGAUUUCUGCUAAAGAAAUCUUUUACCAGUCAUAAAACCACUGGUGAAUAAGGGGUGGGCAAGUUCUGGUGUCAGCCGCCGCGGUAAAACCAGCACCUCAAGUGGUCAGGAUGAUUAUUGGGCCUAAAGCAUCCGUAGCCGGCUUUGUUAGUUUUCGGUUAAAUCCAUGUGCUCAACACAUGGGCUGCCGAAAAUACUGCAUGGCUAGGGAGUGGGAGAGGUAGACGGUACUCAGUAGGAAGGGGUAAAAUCCUUUGAUCUAUUGAUGACCACCUGUGGCGAAGGCGGUCUACCAGAACACGUUCGACGGUGAGGGAUGAAAGCUGGGGGAGCAAACCGGAUUAGAUACCCGGGUAGUCCCAGCUGUAAACGAUGCAGACUCGAUGAUGCAUUGGCAUAAUAGCCAGUGCAGUGUCGCAGGGAAGCCGUUAAGUCUGCCGCCUGGGAAGUACGUACGCAAGUAUGAAACUUAAAGGAAUUGGCGGGGGAGCACCACAAGGGGUGAAGCCUGCGGUUCAAUUGGAUUCAACGCCGGG
This 913-nucleotide ribosomal RNA is filed under the name uncultured archaeon. Its description in RNAcentral is "bacterial SSU rRNA". It matches the Rfam family "Archaeal small subunit ribosomal RNA", at positions 4 to 922 of the family's 1478-position model. The record is from RNAcentral.